UUCGCUUCGUCGCAUGGUUCGAGCCCGACCAUCAUAUCGUGAAACUGGCUGCACCAUUCUUCGAGCGCCGUUUCGCCGAUAUGGCGUGGUCGAUUCUCACGCCGGAUCGCUGCGCGCACACUGGGACGGGUGCAAGACGAUCUUCACACCUGGCGCGUUGAAAUCAGACGCGCCCUCCAGUGAUCCGCUCGAAGACAUCUGGCGCACC
Molecule: unclassified non-coding RNA, 208 nt
Filed under: Hevea brasiliensis (rubber tree)
Lineage: Eukaryota; Viridiplantae; Streptophyta; Magnoliopsida; Malpighiales; Euphorbiaceae
Source: RNAcentral